GCGAGAGUGGCGGAAUUGGCAGACGCGCUGGCUUUAGGUGCCAGUGUCCCAGGACGUGGGGGUUCAAAUCCCCCCUCUCGCA
Molecule: transfer RNA, 82 nt
Filed under: Actinomycetota bacterium
Lineage: Bacteria; Bacillati; Actinomycetota
Description: tRNA-Leu
Rfam family: tRNA
About the family: Transfer RNA (tRNA) molecules are approximately 80 nucleotides in length. Their secondary structure includes four short double-helical elements and three loops (D, anti-codon, and T loops).
Source: RNAcentral